This 713-nucleotide ribosomal RNA is filed under the name Tintinnopsis major. Its description in RNAcentral is "LSU rRNA". It matches the Rfam family "Eukaryotic large subunit ribosomal RNA", at positions 70 to 834 of the family's 3401-position model. Lineage: Eukaryota; Ciliophora; Spirotrichea; Tintinnida; Codonellidae. The record is from RNAcentral.
AAGGAUUCCCUUAGUACGGGCGACGGAAGCGGGAAAAGCCCACAUUGGUAAUCUCCAGGUUUCACCUGGCGAAUUGUAAUCUGAAGAUAGUUAGCUCACCUGGAUGACGCGUCGAAAUGUGCACGAGCGCACUGCCAAAGAGGGUGAGAGCCCCGUAAGGUGCGUCGUCCUAACGAGCUGGUUGUCUAAGAGUCGUGUACUUUGAUACUAGUGCACUAAGCGGGAGAUAAACUUCUUCUAAGGCUAAAUAUAAGUAGGAAACCGAUAGCGAACAAGUACUGUGAAGGAAAGAUGAAAAGCACUUUGAAGAGAAAGUUAAAAGACUUGAAAUCGUUGAGGCGGACCCGGUAGAAAUGUAUUCUAGCGAAGCGCCCGGGGAAGCCUGUACGCGGGCCACUUGGGCACUAGCCGAGACAAGAUGGAGUCGCGCGAUGCCAGAGGCGGUGCAGGAGCUGGCUUGCCGGAGCCUGUGCUUGUUGGGUGUCGCGCGGCUUGAGGGGCCUUGCGCGAUCUUGUCAAAAUGGUUUUUACCGACUCGUCUUGAAACACGAACCAAGGAGUCUAAGACUAACGCGAGUGUGGUGGUGGAGAAACCAACACGCGAAAUGAAAGUAAAUGAUGCCAGGAACCCUGCAGCAUCGACCGACUUUUUUCUUCUGGAAGAGGUUUGAGUAAGAGCGUUAUUCUUAGGACCCGAAAGAUGGUGAAACUAU